Molecule: ribosomal RNA, 459 nt
Filed under: uncultured bacterium
Lineage: Bacteria
Description: bacterial SSU rRNA
Rfam family: Bacterial small subunit ribosomal RNA
Source: RNAcentral
UACGGGAGGCAGCAGUGGGGAAUAUUGGACAAUGGGCGAAAGCCUGAUCCAGCCAUGCCGCGUGUGUGAAGAAGGUCUUCGGAUUGUAAAGCACUUUAAGUUGGGAGGAAGGGCAAGUCAGCGAAUACCUUGCUGUCUUGACGUUACCGACAGAAUAAGCACCGGCUAACUCUGUGCCAGCAGCCGCGGUAAUACAGAGGGUGCAAGCGUUAAUCGGAAUUACUGGGCGUAAAGCGCGCGUAGGUGGUUUGUUAAGUUGAAUGUGAAAUCCCUGGGCUCAACCUGGGAACUGCAUCCAAAACUGGCAAGCUAGAGUAGGGCAGAGGGUGGUGGAAUUUUCCUGUGUAGCGGUGAAAUGCGUAGAUAUAGGAAGGGAACACCAGUGGCGAAAGGCGACCACCUGGGGCUCAUACUGACACUGAGGUGCGAAAGCGUGGGGAGCAAACGGGAUAGAAUACC